This is a non-coding RNA of Cyanistes caeruleus (blue tit), 226 nucleotides long. Lineage: Eukaryota; Metazoa; Chordata; Aves; Passeriformes; Paridae. The record is from RefSeq and is a predicted model, not a curated record.
UUCCCAGGGGGUGAUGUGCUGACAGCCAUGCUGGCUGGAGAGCUGCCCUGGGACCAGCCCAGCGACAGCUGCCAGGAGUACAGCGACUGGAAGGAGAAAAAAACCUACCUCCCACCUUGGAAGAAGAUUGAUUCAGCUCCCUUGGCCCUGCUGCACAAGAUCCUCACGGAGAGCCCGGCAGCGAGGAUCACCAUUCCUGACAUCCAGAAGGACCGGUGGUACAGCA